CGUAAGGACCCGUUGCACGCGCGGAGCAACACGGGUAACCCACUCACUCGUCACACGCACACAACACAUCCUCCGGCUUUUAUGGCACCUGUGCCUCCGUUUUCCGAAAGAACGCGACGCCGCCUGCAGAUACCUGACCGUAGUAGCGUAUCAGGCGACAGAAAUUCCUGUGUCGCGAGUUGUUUUGUCGAAUAGCGAUCCGUAUACGCCCCUGCCCUCGCUUCACGCGUAAGAAAGUCACCAUGGACGUCAGCAAGCGGCCACGCGAGGAAUUCCACAAGGAGCAGUGUCUCUCCUUCGUGAAGAAGCUUUGGGCGGCCGACACGCUCGCCAUGUUUCACUAUCCGGUGAGCGCCACCGAGGUGCCCGGCUACUACGACGUCGUAGAUACACCUAUGGACCUGUCCACGAUUCGGAAGAACAUCGAGCAGGGCAAGUACAGAACGGACACUGAGGUCGAGAAUGACGUGGUGCUCAUGCUGUCGAACGCUCUGGACUUUAACGAGAAAGGCUCGCAAUGGCAUGAUUUGGCGAAGCAGCUCAAGAAGCGGUACCUGACCCUUGCGCAGGAGUCGGGGCUGUCCUUCGACGCAGACCAGGCGUUCAUCCCUACGAAAAAGGUGCGCGACGACGAGUCGACGCUGCGCAAAGCGGAGAAGAAGGGAGGGGAGAAGCUCGAGGAUGUUUUGCAGGCGAUGGAGAAGGACAAGGAGAUCCCGCUCGAGCAGCUGCGGGCCAUGUACGCGCGCCGAAGAACAAGGGGGAAAGCCGAUCAGCAAAGCUCCGACUACAGCAGCGGUAGGGGCAGCGACGAUAGCGAUGAAGAGGUGUCCUCGGACGAAGAAGACACGAGCGACAGUGGCAGCGGCAGCGGCAGCUAUGACACUGAAGAAGAAGAUGAGGACUCGCUCGACUCCGAGAGUGUGUCAAAGGAUGACGAUGACGACGAGUGACACAUAAGAGGCGUGUGCCCCCCCCUUCUCAUGCCGCCGUUAUUAGUUGUGCAUACUCACUAUCAUGGGCAUCACUAUCCUCACCCUCUCGUCGUUUCAAGAUGAGAAGCGGGUCGGGUGCUGACAGAUUAUCACAUCUACUGCAAACACGCAGGCAACACAGC
RNAcentral lists this unclassified non-coding RNA (1117 nucleotides) under Leishmania donovani. RNAcentral describes it as "gene:LdHU3.36.4330(CDS-product:bromodomain_factor _2_protein_putative)". The record is from RNAcentral. Lineage: Eukaryota; Euglenozoa; Kinetoplastea; Trypanosomatida; Trypanosomatidae.